AUGGUGGACGAGUACCACCACCGGAUGGGCGCCGCGGCGGCCGACUUCCGGCGCGACCUGGAGGACCUCGUCUGCGACCACCUCGGCGGCUGCUACUCGCCGCCGCCCUCCUCGUCCUCGUCGCUCUGCUCCGCGGCGGGCGGCGGCGGCGGGGGAGGCGCCGAGGGCGGCGGAGGCGUCGGCGGGGCCGGCGAGGAGGAGGCCGAGUCGUCGCGGCGGCGGCGGCGCGAGUCGCGGCUGCUCAGCCGCUGGGUCGCGCGGCAGGCGGAGGAGGUGCUCUCCUCCAUGGAGCGCGAGGUGGAGCGGCGGAACCGCGAGUCGGAGCUCCUCGCGCUCACCCGGCUCCACCCGGUCUCCACCCUCGACCCCUCCGCGUUCCUCCUCUCCUCGCCCCCGCCGCCGCGCCCUCAGGCGCCCUCGCCCGCCGCGCCCUCCUCCCUGCUCCAGAUGUGGCGGGAGCUCGAGCACCGCCGCGCCGACGCCGGCCAGCCCUUCGACCGCGAGCCGUCCCCGGACACGCCCGACCGCCACCGCGAGCGCGUGCGCCAGAUCGCCCGCCGCCUCACCACCUCCACGGACAGCCCCACGGCCGCGGCCGCCACGGCCACGGGGGAGUGGCUCGGCGAGACGGAGAGGCAGAGGGUCAGGCUCGUCAGGGAGUGGGUGCAGAUGGCCAGCCAGCCGCGCGACGCCCGCGCGGCCUCCCGCAGGGAGGAGCCGACCGCCGCGGAGAGGGAGAGGCGAGGGGAGCCUCCCCGGCUCCGUGGCCGGCAGGCGCGCACCGAUGUCAUCACUCGGAUGUCCCGGGAGCGUCAGCGCGAGCUGCAGGGGCUAUCGGGGUACCACAUUGUGUCGCAGUUCCCCCAGCGCAGCCGCAGCCGCAUUCAGGGAUUGCUUAGGGUAAGGUUCUUGAGGAACGCGGUGGCUCCAGCAGAAGAGGAGCGACAGCCAUCUGUGGCGGCGAGGGAGCUCGGGCAGUUGAGGCAGAGCCAUCGUGUGUCCACCUUAAGAUCAGAGAGUGCUGUAAGUAGUCAAGAUGUUAGCCUGUCUGAUGCUCCUGUCGCCGAAAAUGUUCCAUUACUUGGUAAUGAUGAAACUGAACAGGGGGCUGAAGUUGGGCACCUUACUGUUAGUGAGGAUGUGGCCCAAACUACGCCCGAGAAUGUGGGUUUACAGGAGGAUAACGUAGAUGUUGCUGAGGCGGAGUCACCGGCUACAACAUCGGGUGACAUAGUUGAUAUGCAAGUGUCUCAAGUUGAUAAUGGGCUGCAAGUUGAGGCAGAACGUGAGACAAUAUUUUGGCAGCCAUCUUUGGAUGUCAGGCUUGAUAGGUGGCCCAAUGAAACUGCAGAGAAUUCUGACAGAAAUUGGGAAGAUAAUGCAGAGGAGUUACACAGCGAAAUCGCGGAGGAUGAUGACAGGGAGAAUGAAAAUCUCCAAGAUGAGCAUGAUGCGUGGCACGAUGACGAAUCUCAUGGCACCGAGGAGAACUGGCAAGAUGAUGACUUCCAUGAUGCUGCACUUGACACAGGGCCCAUUCCUAGAAUUGAAAACAGCUUCAACCUACGUGAUGAAGCCAAUUUGCACAACAUGGAACUGAGGGAAUUACUUAGCAGGCGAAGUGUAUCCAAUCUUCUUAGUAAUGGUUUUGGUGACAGUUUGGAGCAAUUAAUAAGGUCAUAUGUUCAACGACGUGGCCAUGCCCCACUCAACUGGAAUCUCGAUACAGCCAUGCCCACUGCGAAUGCACCAAAUGGAAACCAGGAACUAGUAAGAAAUGCUGAAAAUCGGCAAUUCCAAGGUCCUGCCAACAGACCUGCCCUUGUUAUCCCUCCACCACCUUUGCCACCGCGGCAGCCACUGUGGCACAGAGAUUUGCGCCAUAACACCUGGAGCAGUAGACACAGGGUACAUCAGGAAUUGGACGCCAUUAAUGAUUUGAAAGCUGACAUGAAUAAACUCCAACAAGGGAUGAGCAGCAUGCAAAGGAUGUUGGAGGCGUGCAUGGACAUGCAACUGGAGUUGCAACGUUCAGUGAGACAAGAAGUGUCUGCAGCCUUGAGUAGAUUCCCGGGACCUGAAGGUUGCAUGUUUCUGGAUCUACACGAUGACGGAACGAGAUGGGACCAGGUGAGGAAAGGAACCUGCUGCGUAUGCUGCGACACACAAAUCGAUUCUCUACUCUACAGAUGCGGGCACAUGUGCACGUGCUCGAAAUGCGCGAACGAGCUGGUGCGCAGCGGCGGCAAGUGCCCGCUGUGCCGGGCGCCGAUCGUGGAGGUGGUCCGGGCAUACGCGGUGCUGUAA
RNAcentral lists this ribosomal RNA (2307 nucleotides) under Triticum aestivum (bread wheat). RNAcentral describes it as "partial small subunit ribosomal RNA". Lineage: Eukaryota; Viridiplantae; Streptophyta; Magnoliopsida; Poales; Poaceae. The record is from RNAcentral.